UACGAAGGGGGCUAGCGUUGUUCGGAAUUACUGGGCGUAAAGCGCACGUAGGCGGGUAUUUAAGUCAGGGGUGAAAUCCCAGAGCUCAACUCUGGAACUGCCUUUGAUACUGGGUACCUAGAGUGUGGAAGAGGUGAGUGGAAUUCCGAGUGUAGAGGUGAAAUUCGUAGAUAUUCGGAGGAACACCAGUGGCGAAGGCGGCUCACUGGUCCACUACGGACGCUGAGGUGCGAAAGCGUGGGGAGCAAACAGG
RNAcentral lists this ribosomal RNA (253 nucleotides) under uncultured bacterium. Its description in RNAcentral is "partial 16S ribosomal RNA". It matches the Rfam family "Bacterial small subunit ribosomal RNA", at positions 524 to 776 of the family's 1533-position model. The record is from RNAcentral.